Molecule: long non-coding RNA, 1507 nt
Filed under: Canis lupus familiaris (dog)
Lineage: Eukaryota; Metazoa; Chordata; Mammalia; Carnivora; Canidae
Description: lncRNA (ENSCAFG00000052536.1)
Source: RNAcentral
AAAUAAACUUUUAUUUAAGUUACAUGUACAGUUCAUUAAUAAAAGAAAAAUGCUUGUCUACAGGUCAGCAGGACUUGAUGCAUUCCAACAUGUGUCUAUAGAAUUCUGAAGAUCCUGAGCAUGAUAAUGUAGCCGUAUGCUCUAGAAUCCCAAGGCAUUAUAUGCUCUUAAAUCACAUUUUGGUAUCGAGUGACAUUUUAAAAGGGGCAAGGUAGUUUUUUUCAAAGCCAGUCACUUUAUGCAAAGAAUUCUUUUCUCCCUGUGCGUGUGUAUAAAUAGAGAAAUACCUAGGUCUCAGGGGUAGAUUCCAGAAUAUCUAAGAUCCAUCAGUCACUUGACCUAAGUCAUAGUUAUUCCUGUUUUACUGGGUAUGUCUUGUGAGAACCUUACAAUGUAUGAUUGGUUUUGAUACAGUUUGUACACAGGAGGGAUGUUGCCUGUCCAUAAAUUCCUUCAGGGGAUCUUUUUCUUCUACUUUGCAAUCCAGUAAUCUACUUCUACUUCACAAGGAGAAUAAUUCUGCAACUUCUGGCAUCUUGAAGCAUGGCACACAUAACAAUGUUUUGCUAGUGUUAUACUACUGGUACACCACUAUAUUGGAUGCCAGCCAUUUAGGGCAUCUGACACACUGGGAAACUACUGAGGGAUCCCUACUAUCAGUAGUAAAGGGGACUCAGCAAACAUGUAGUGUGACAUCUGGCUUAACCUUUACACAUCUCUGCCUCCUUUUCUGAGAGGGGAUGGCAGGAAGCAUAUAGGGUUUGGAAUCUGUGGUCUCAAUUUUCACAUCAUAAAAUGAAGACACUUACCAACUUGGGUUGUUGUGAAGAUCAAAAGAAAAAAAAUACAUGCCAGCACUUAUUUAACACAUUAUUAAGCUAUUAAGAUGUUAAGGGAAACUCAAAAUGCUUUAGCACCAUCCAAAGACUGUGUAGGCUACCAAAUAUUUAUUUCCAUGUUCUAGGCAGUAAAGUCAAAAGAUUGGAACAGAAACCCACAGGCUAAAUGUCUAGGGUUUAAAUCAUGGAACCCUUGAAGCUUUUUUUUUAACUGUAUAAAGGUUAUAUCACUACCUGAAAUUCACACCUAGAUCUCAUCAGACAGGUGUAGUGGAACACACUUGGGACAAGGUCUAAUGCUUGUGCUCAAUGAGUCAAGUUACUGUAACCCUCCCUGGUAAAGUCACAUAGGAGGUUCUAGAUCGUGCCACAAUGAAUACAAAUAAAGGCAUAGAUCGAGAGUAACCUCCAGCAGUAACACUUGCCUUGCACUCACUAAAUGCCAGACAUGGUGGUGCUGAGUCUGUCUAUGCCUUCUCACUUAACCUUCACCAUGGCAUGGCAACAGUCUCCAUCUUGUCCAUUUACUGAGGGGAUUAGUAGCUUGCCCAAGCUACCAUGUCAAGACUGACACCAGGGUCCAUGCUUGUGAACCUCCUUGCUGACCACCUAAUUUUCCCCUCACACACAAUGAAAAAGAAAACUAUUGAUGAUGUGUCCAGGGCCCC